GGGGAUUUAGCUCAGUGGUAGAGAGCACUUGCCUAGCAAGUGCAAGGCCCUGGGUUCGGUCCCCAGCUCCA
RNAcentral lists this transfer RNA (71 nucleotides) under Rattus norvegicus (Norway rat). It matches the Rfam family "tRNA". Rfam says of the family: Transfer RNA (tRNA) molecules are approximately 80 nucleotides in length. Their secondary structure includes four short double-helical elements and three loops (D, anti-codon, and T loops). Further hydrogen bonds mediate the characteristic L-shaped molecular structure. tRNAs have two regions of fundamental functional importance: the anti-codon, which is responsible for specific mRNA codon recognition, and the 3' end, to which the tRNAs corresponding amino acid is attached (by aminoacyl-tRNA synthetases). tRNAs cope with the degeneracy of the genetic code in two manners: having more than one tRNA (with a specific anti-codon) for a particular amino acid; and 'wobble' base-pairing, i.e. permitting non-standard base-pairing at the 3rd anti-codon position. Lineage: Eukaryota; Metazoa; Chordata; Mammalia; Rodentia; Muridae. The record is from Rfam by way of RNAcentral.